Molecule: ribosomal RNA, 472 nt
Filed under: uncultured Magnetococcus sp.
Lineage: Bacteria; Pseudomonadati; Pseudomonadota; Magnetococcia; Magnetococcales; Magnetococcaceae
Description: bacterial SSU rRNA
Rfam family: Bacterial small subunit ribosomal RNA
Source: RNAcentral
UUCGGGUGCCGACGAGUGGCGAACGGGUGAGUAACGCGUGGAUACCUGUCCUAUGGUGGGGAAUAACGUUUAGAAAUGAACGCUAAUACCGCAUAAGCCCUACGGGGGAAAGAUUUAUCGCCAUAGGAGGGGUCCGCGUCGGAUUAGCUUGUUGGUGGGGUAACGGCCUACCAAGGCGACGAUCCGUAGCUGGUCUGAGAGGAUGAUCAGCCACACUGGGACUGAGACACGGCCCAGACUCCUACGGGAGGCAGCAGUGGGGAAUAUUGCGCAAUGGGGGCAACCCUGACGCAGCGACGCCGCGUGGGUGAAGAAGGCCUUAGGGUUGUAAAGCCCCUUCAGUGGGAAAGAUUAUGACGGUACCCACAGAAGAAGCUCCGGCUAACUCCGUGCCAGCAGCCGCGGUAAUACGGAGGGAGCUAGCGUUGUUCGGAAUUACUGGGCGUAAAGGGCGCGUAGGCGGUUUGACAAG